UAUUGAGUAUGUGUUAUUUUUAGAGUAAAGUUUUUAAAAUAAUAGGAAAAAAUAAUAUUAUAAGGGAAAGUAAUUAUUAAUUAUUUAUUUUAAAUGAAGGAAGUAGAUUAUAAAAUAGAUAAUUGAUGAUUAUUUUUUUUUGUAAUAUUGUUUUUUUUUAUUAUUUUAAAGGUUUUAUUUUGAAAGUAAUAUAUGUUUAAUG
This 202-nucleotide unclassified non-coding RNA is filed under the name Hevea brasiliensis (rubber tree). Lineage: Eukaryota; Viridiplantae; Streptophyta; Magnoliopsida; Malpighiales; Euphorbiaceae. The record is from RNAcentral.